RNAcentral lists this unclassified non-coding RNA (324 nucleotides) under fungal sp. RNAcentral describes it as "partial internal transcribed spacer region". The stretch from base 1 to 46 matches the Rfam family "Eukaryotic small subunit ribosomal RNA", at positions 1786 to 1831 of the family's 1831-position model. The record is from RNAcentral. RNAcentral also lists the same sequence under 2 other names. Lineage: Eukaryota; Fungi.
AAGUCGUAACAAGGUUUCCGUAGGUGAACCUGCGGAAGGAUCAUUACAAAAUCCAAAAGUUUGGGGUGCCAGCUGAGCGAUUGGUCUUUCGGGGCCUUUCUGUUCGCUGCCCUCAAAUCUUUUACCUACCCCAAAAACCACUGUGCACUGUGAACAAAGCUUCACCGAACAAGUCUUUUGGCUUUUUUGGGGAGCUUUAACCCAUUUUUACACGCUUACAUUUUUUGACAACUGUAUUUCAUUUUCUAUGGUUUAGCUUUCGAGCGAUCAUGUAAAAUAAACACAAUGUUAAUACAACUUUUAGCAACGGAUCUCUUGGCUCUC